RNAcentral lists this ribosomal RNA (465 nucleotides) under uncultured bacterium. Its description in RNAcentral is "partial 16S ribosomal RNA". It matches the Rfam family "Bacterial small subunit ribosomal RNA", at positions 28 to 507 of the family's 1533-position model. The record is from RNAcentral.
GACGAACGCUGGCGGCGUGCUUAACACAUGCAAGUCGAACGGAAAGGCCCCUUUGGGGGUACUCGAGUGGCGAACGGGUGAGUAACACGUGAGUAACCUUCCCUUGACUUCGGGAUAACUUCAGGAAACUGGGGCUAAUACCGGAUAGGAAUCCUUGCUGCAUGGUGGGGGUUGGAAAGCUUCGGCGGUUUUGGAUGGACUCGCGGCUUAUCAGCUUGUUGGUGGGGUAGUGGCUUACCAAGGCUUUGACGGGUAGCCGGCCUGAGAGGGCGACCGGCCACAUUGGGACUGAGAUACGGCCCAGACUCCUACGGGAGGAAGCAGUGGGGAAUAUUGCACAAUGGGCGGAAGCCUGAUGCAGCAACGCCGCGUGCGGGAUGACGGCCUUCGGGUUGUAAACCGCUUUCAGCAGGGGCGAAGCUUGUGGUGACGGUACCUGCAGAAGAAGCACCGGCUAACUACGUG